Molecule: long non-coding RNA, 1074 nt
Organism: Cyprinus carpio carpio
Lineage: Eukaryota; Metazoa; Chordata; Actinopteri; Cypriniformes; Cyprinidae
Source: Ensembl
CAAGAUCUUCGCAAUUUAAGAUCGCAAAGGCCUUUAGAUUACACUGACAAAGUUUGGUGUUGAUCUGAAUAAAUCUCUAGGAGGAGUUUGUUAAAGUACAACCCCUGAAAAUGGCAAAAACGACACAAAUUUUGCAUAGAAAAUUCAAAAUAACUGACUUCCUGUUGGGAUUCGAAGGUCGUACCAAGAUACUUUUUUGUAGGUAUUGGUGUGUUACAUGUGUGUACCGAUUUUUGUACAUCUACGUGAAACGUAGCUCGAGACGCACUCCGUUGAAAGUGUAUAGGUGGCGCUAUCGAGGCACUUUGCCACACCCGAUGGAAUAUUGGCCUUCAGAUGUGUUCAGGCCAGGAAUCUUAUCAAACAUGUGAAGUUUGGGCAAGAUCGGACAUUUUAUGCCUGAGUUACAAUAACUUUUAUUCCCAUGGCGAGACAUCGAACUUUGUCACGGCGCCAUGGACACGCCCUUUAACGAAAACUCAAGAUCUUCACAAUUUAACAUCGCACAGGCCUUUAGAAUAGAGUGACUGAAAAAAAACAAUUGAUGUCAUAAAAUUUCUCAGGGUAGUUUGUUACAGCGUAAAAUAUGUCACUUCCUGUUGCCAGUAGGUGGCGCUAUGACUAUAACUGAAUAUGGGCAUAUCAAUCUGUUCAGGUCAGGAGUCUUAUCAAACAUGUGAAGUUUGUGGCAGAUUGGACAUUGUAUGUCUGAGUUAUAGCAACUUCAUUUUUCAUGGCGAAUCAUCGAAAUUCGUGAGGCCGCCACGGACACGCCCUUCAACGAAAACUCAAGAUCUUCGCAAUUUAACAUCGCAAAGGCCUUUAGAUUAGGCAUACCAAAUUUGGUGUUGAUCUGAAUAAAUCUCUAGGAGGAGUUCGUUAAAAUACAAGGCAUGCAAAUGACAAAAAUGAUGCAAAAUUUGCUCAUAAAAUUAAAAAUAACCGACUUCCUGUUGGGUUUCGGAUAUUGCUCCAAGAGUCUUUUUUGUAGGUACUGAUGCUUUACAUAUGUGUGCCAAUUUUCGUGCAUGUACGUGAAACACAGCUCGAGGGCUGUUGAUUCUUUUAGGAUAG